UACGUAGGGUGCAAGCGUUGUCCGGAAUUAUUGGGCGUAAAGAGCUUGUAGGCGGUUUGUCGCGUCUGCUGUGAAAUUUCGGGGCUCAACCCCGAACUUGCAGUGGGUACGGGCAGACUAGAGUGUGGUAGGGGAGACUGGAAUUCCUGGUGUAGCGGUGAAAUGCGCAGAUAUCAGGAGGAACACCGAUGGCGAAGGCAGGUCUCUGGGCCACUACUGACGCUGAGGCGCGAAAGCCAGGGGAGCAAACGGG
RNAcentral lists this ribosomal RNA (253 nucleotides) under uncultured bacterium. RNAcentral's name for it is "partial 16S ribosomal RNA". It matches the Rfam family "Bacterial small subunit ribosomal RNA", at positions 524 to 776 of the family's 1533-position model. The record is from RNAcentral.